This 1567-nucleotide long non-coding RNA is filed under the name Nicotiana tabacum (common tobacco). RNAcentral describes it as "long non-coding RNA (NTAB_LNC007385)". Lineage: Eukaryota; Viridiplantae; Streptophyta; Magnoliopsida; Solanales; Solanaceae. The record is from RNAcentral.
AGCCCAACCAAAAUGCCUCAAAGCCCUUUACGAACUUCUAAAUGAUUCAAGGUUAAGUCAAGGAGAAAAUAGUAGGAUUUAGCAUAAAGAAUCUUGUGAUCAUCACUGUAUUGUCUUCUUGUUAUACUGAUUUUGGAGAUACCCUGGAGGCGGAGAUAAUCGCCAUAGACGUGUGAGAAUUCAGGAAGCGUAACUAGUUCUUCAACAAGACAUGUAAGGCACUUCUUCUCCUUGGCAUGUCUUUAUGUAAGCGCUUUUUUCUGAAUCAUCCAUUUGUGAUAACACUGAAUUGCUUAAGGCCUCUCUUGACAAGGUUGUUCAUGUUCUUGUAUGUUUUUUGUCUGAGGCAUUUUCUCUCCAAUUUGAGAUAUUUCUGGAUGAUAUUUUGAGGUGAUAAAAUGUAAUUCAUUCUGAUUCUGAUCUUCAUAUCUCUUGAAAUCGACCUUGCAUUACACACACACACAUAGGAGCUCUAUAAGCGGCCGAAUACGGCACCUAAUGUGCAGCCAUUGAUUAGUUGGGUAUAAGGAGACAUGAUGUGAAUUAUUCACCGAGCUCUCAUGUGGCCUGUUAUGAUCGAGGCCUUCAUGAGGCCAGGUACGGAAGGAUGUGUUAUGAGAUACUACCGAGAUCUUUCGAGGCCAAAUACGCCAAGUCCUAUUGAGCCCAAACUGGGACCUCUUGAGGCCGUAAAAGCAAAAACCUUUGCCAAGUCCUCUAUGAGGCCGGGAAUGACAUGAGAUGAUAAGUCCCAAAUAGUGGAUAAAUAAUAUUAUAUUAUAUCUAAUGUGUAUUCUUAGUGAGUGGCUUAACCUUUUACAAAACUUGGACACAUUCAUGAUUCAUAAUCACUCCAGUACAUGCCCCCAGUGGCUUAUUUUCGGUGCUCAGGUUGAGUGGCGUAUUCAUGUCUCUUAUGUUAUGUUCUUGGUUUACAUAUAUUAUCAAUGUUACAUAAUCAAUACAUCUUUCGUACUGAUAUCCUUUUCUUUUGGGUGUUGUGUCCAUGCUCACAGGUACAGAUAGACCCGGUGACGUCCCUCCCUAGUAGGGUGUACAUUUCAACGGUUGGUUGCCACACUCCACUUAUUUGAAAUAACUGUACAUAAUUCAAUAAGUACUGGAGUAUGUGUCUUUAUCAUUUUGGGUAUGUGUAUGCGGUGAAAUCCAUAGGGUAAAAUUUUAUAGUCAUUAUGACGCUUCGUGGGCACGCCUCCAAAGGCUCGAGACAAUGGUCUAGGUUUGACCCCGAGAGGUUAUCAACGUUUGACCUCGGGGAAGUACAGAUCGGUAGUUGUGAUGGAAAAAUGGGAAGUUCCCAAGGCACGUGAUUUAGGCUGACCGAGUCUAUUAGGCUAGUAUAAGCCCGUACCGUGGUAUUAAAUGACUAUACCAACCAUAUAUCUAUGUAAUAAAUGCAUUUAUACUAUGUUGGAAUUCCCUCUCAUAUAUAAAGAGGACCCUUGUCAUUUUGUAAAGGAGGAGAAUAUCACACACAACAUUCAAUACAAGAACAUUCCCUGCUCUCUAACACAUUCUCCUUGAUUCUAUUAUUUACAUUUAUUGC